GAUGAACGCUGGCGGCGUGCUUAACACAUGCAAGUCGAACGAAGCACUUUAUUUGAUUUCCUUCGGGACUGAUUAUUUUGUGACUGAGUGGCGGACGGGUGAGUAACGCGUGGGUAACCUGCCUUGUACAGGGGGAUAACAGUUGGAAACGGCUGCUAAUACCGCAUAAGCGCACGGCAUCGCAUGAUGCAGUGUGAAAAACUCCGGUGGUAUAAGAUGGACCCGCGUUGGAUUAGCUAGUUGGUGAGGUAACGGCCCACCAAGGCGACGAUCCAUAGCCGACCUGAGAGGGUGACCGGCCACAUUGGGACUGAGACACGGCCCAAACUCCUACGGGAGGCAGCAGUGGGGAAUAUUGCACAAUGGGCGAAAGCCUGAUGCAGCGACGCCGCGUGAGCGAAGAAGUAUUUCGGUAUGUAAAGCUCCAUCAGCAGGGAAGAUAAUGACGGUACCUGACGAAGAAGCACCGGCUAAAUACGUG
Molecule: ribosomal RNA, 481 nt
Filed under: uncultured bacterium
Lineage: Bacteria
Description: partial 16S ribosomal RNA
Rfam family: Bacterial small subunit ribosomal RNA
Source: RNAcentral